This is a long non-coding RNA of Calypte anna (Anna's hummingbird), 383 nucleotides long. RefSeq lists it as uncharacterized. Lineage: Eukaryota; Metazoa; Chordata; Aves; Apodiformes; Trochilidae. The record is from RefSeq and is a predicted model, not a curated record. The transcript has 3 exons.
UGCAGGGAAGCAGCCCAGCACCUGAAGAAAAUGCCAUAGCAGUAAUUCAGUGAAUUCUUCUGAGGACCUUGUGAUGCCCUCACUGCCUGUGACCCUGCUGCCUGGGAGCUCAGGGCUGCCAUAAAGUUUGAGGACCAUAGAUUAGGAAAUGUAACACCAGUGACACCACAGUCUGGACCCACUUGAGGAAUAUGUGCAGCUCCUAUUGCCAUGGGACAUGUUUUCUUACAGUGUUUGGUGCUGAGCUCCUUGAGACAUCCUUAAGAGAUUUCCUGUGUGUCUGUAAAAACAGCUCUGGCCAAGGAACGAGGCACCUCUAAUGUCAUCCUGGAGCAGAUGAUGUCUCAGUUUUCCCUCUGUGAACCACGUGAGACCCACUGAAU